This 450-nucleotide ribosomal RNA is filed under the name uncultured bacterium. RNAcentral describes it as "partial 16S ribosomal RNA". It matches the Rfam family "Bacterial small subunit ribosomal RNA", at positions 354 to 796 of the family's 1533-position model. The record is from RNAcentral.
GUGGGGAAUUUUGGACAAUGGGCGCAAGCCUGAUCCAGCAAUGCCGCGUGCAGGAAGAAGGCCUUCGGGUUGUAAACUGCUUUUGUACGGAACGAAACGGUCCUGGUUAAUACCUGGGGCUAAUGACGGUACCGUAAGAAUAAGCACCGGCUAACUACGUGCCAGCAGCCGCGGUAAUACGUAGGGUGCAAGCGUUAAUCGGAAUUACUGGGCGUAAAGCGUGCGCAGGCGGUUUUGUAAGACAGACGUGAAAUCCCCGGGCUCAACCUGGGAAUGGCGUUUGUGACUGCAAAGCUGGAGUGCGGCAGAGGGGGAUGGAAUUCCGCGUGUAGCAGUGAAAUGCGUAGAUAUGCGGAGGAACACCGAUGGCGAAGGCAAUCCCCUGGGCCUGCACUGACGCUCAUGCACGAAAGCGUGGGGAGCAAACAGGAUUAGAUACCCCUGUAGUCC